CCUACGGGUGGCUGCAGUGGGGAAUAUUGGACAAUGGGCGAAAGCCUGAUCCAGCCAUGCCGCGUGUGUGAAGAAGGCCUUCGGGUUGUAAAGCACUUUCAGUGGGGAAGAAAGCCUUGGGGCUAAUACCCUCGAGGAAGGACAUCACCCACAGAAGAAGCACCGGCUAACUCCGUGCCAGCAGCCGCGGUAAUACGGAGGGUGCGAGCGUUAAUCGGAAUUACUGGGCGUAAAGCGCGCGUAGGCGGUCUGAUAAGCCGGUUGUGAAAGCCCCGGGCUCAACCUGGGAACGGCAUCCGGAACUGUCAGGAUAGAGUGCAGGAGAGGAAGGUAGAAUUCCCGGUGUAGCGGUGAAAUGCGUAGAGAUCGGGAGGAAUACCAGUGGCGAAGGCGGACUUCUGGACUGACACUGACGCUGAGGUGCGAAAGCGUGGGUAGCAAACAGGAUUAGAUACCCUAGUAGUC
Molecule: ribosomal RNA, 465 nt
Filed under: Vreelandella stevensii
Lineage: Bacteria; Pseudomonadati; Pseudomonadota; Gammaproteobacteria; Oceanospirillales; Halomonadaceae
Description: partial 16S ribosomal RNA
Rfam family: Bacterial small subunit ribosomal RNA
Source: RNAcentral